AUGCGAUAAGUAAUGUGAAUUGCAGAAUUCAGUGAAUCAUCGAAUCUUUGAACGCACAUUGCGCCCGCCAGUAUUCUGGCGGGCAUGCCUGUUCGAGCGUCAUUUCAACCAUCAAGCCCCCGGGCUUGCGUUGGGGCCCUGCGGCUGCCGCAGACCCCUAAAACCAGUGGCGGGCUCGCUGUCACACCGAGCGCAGUAGCAAUAUCUCGCUCUGGGCGUGGCGCGGGUGCUUGCCGUAAAACACACCACUUAACAAGGUUGACCUCGGAUCAGGUAGGAAUACCCGCUGAACUUAA
RNAcentral lists this unclassified non-coding RNA (296 nucleotides) under uncultured Ramophialophora. RNAcentral describes it as "partial contains 5.8S ribosomal RNA, internal transcribed spacer 2, and large subunit ribosomal RNA". The stretch from base 1 to 102 matches the Rfam family "5.8S ribosomal RNA", at positions 53 to 154 of the family's 154-position model. Lineage: Eukaryota; Fungi; Ascomycota; Sordariomycetes; Sordariales. The record is from RNAcentral.